ACUCGAGUGGCGAACGGGUGAGUAACACGUGGGUGAUCUGCCCUGCACUUCGGGAUAAGCCUGGGAAACUGGGUCUAAUACCGGAUAGGAGCCAUUUUUAGUGUGAUGGUUGGAAAGUUUUUCGGUGUAGGAUGAGCUCGCGGCCUAUCAGCUUGUUGGUGGGGUAAUGGCCUACCAAGGCGGCGACGGGCAGCCGGCCUGAGAGGGUGGACGGCCACAUUGGGACUGGGAUACGGCCCAG
RNAcentral lists this ribosomal RNA (241 nucleotides) under uncultured Actinomycetales bacterium. Its description in RNAcentral is "partial 16S ribosomal RNA". It matches the Rfam family "Bacterial small subunit ribosomal RNA", at positions 89 to 334 of the family's 1533-position model. Lineage: Bacteria; Bacillati; Actinomycetota; Actinomycetes; Actinomycetales. The record is from RNAcentral.